This 281-nucleotide unclassified non-coding RNA is filed under the name uncultured fungus. Its description in RNAcentral is "partial contains small subunit ribosomal RNA, internal transcribed spacer 1, and 5.8S ribosomal RNA". The stretch from base 1 to 73 matches the Rfam family "Eukaryotic small subunit ribosomal RNA", at positions 1759 to 1831 of the family's 1831-position model. The record is from RNAcentral. Lineage: Eukaryota; Fungi.
UCAAACUUGGUCAUUUAGAGGAAGUAAAAGUCGUAACAAGGUUUCCGUAGGUGAACCUGCGGAAGGAUCAUUACCGAGUAUGCCCUUCUGGGCGGACCUCCAACCCACUGUAUACUGCUUUUUGUUGCUUUGGCGGGCCCGCGCAAGCUACUGGCUUCGGCUGGUAAGUGCCCGCCAGAGGAAACUAAACCCUAAUAAUUUUUGUUUUGUCUGAAAAAAACUAAAUAUUUAAAACUUUCAACAACGGAUCUCUUGGCUCUGGCAUCGAUGAAGAACGCAGC